RNAcentral lists this ribosomal RNA (449 nucleotides) under uncultured bacterium. RNAcentral's name for it is "partial 16S ribosomal RNA". It matches the Rfam family "Bacterial small subunit ribosomal RNA", at positions 29 to 523 of the family's 1533-position model. The record is from RNAcentral.
AACGAACGCUGGCGGCAUGCCUAACACAUGCAAGUCGAACGAGAUCUUCGGGUCUAGUGGCGCACGGGUGCGUAACGCGUGGGAAUCUGCCCUUUGGUUCGGAAUAACAGUUGGAAACGACUGCUAAUACCGGAUGAUGACGAAAGUCCAAAGAUUUAUCGCCAGAGGAUGAGCCCGCGUAGGAUUAGCUAGUUGGUGUGGUAAAGGCGCACCAAGGCGACAAUCCUUAGCUGGUCUGAGAGGAUGAUCAGCCACACUGGGACUGAGACACGGCCCAGACUCCUACNNNNNGCAGCAGUGNGGANUAUUGGACAAUGGGCGAAAGCCUGAUCCAGCAAUGCCGCGUGAGUGAUGAAGGCCUUAGGGUUGUAAAGCUCUUUUACCCGNGAUGAUAAUGACAGUACCGGGAGAAUAAGCUCCGGCUAACUCCGUGCCAGCCGCCGCGGUAA